This is a long non-coding RNA of Hipposideros armiger (great roundleaf bat), 808 nucleotides long. RefSeq lists it as uncharacterized. Lineage: Eukaryota; Metazoa; Chordata; Mammalia; Chiroptera; Hipposideridae. The transcript has 3 exons. The record is from RefSeq and is a predicted model, not a curated record.
ACUUGGGCUUUGGAGCCAGAUAGAACUGGAUUGGAACCCAAACUCCCCCCUUAGUUUGCUAGCUCUGUGGUCAUAGAAAAGUCAUUCCCCUCUUCAGCCUUGGUUUUUCUCAUUUGUAAAACAGAGACAAUAGCUCUUUCUCAGGAUUGUUGUGGAGACUCAAGAUAAAAUAUGCAAAUCACCUGGCACAUGGCCGGCACAUGACAAGUGGGGCCACUAUUAUUAUUGCCUCUCCUAUCCAAACUGCUCCCGACAUGAACAGAACCCCUCGGUCCUCGGCAAGCUGGGCUGUUGUUGGUGAAAUCUCCUACCAUUCUCCAGUUGUGACUCCUUUUUGAAAAUGCAGAAGCUGAGGUCCAGGACAGGCAAGUCCCUUGCCCAUGUUCACGAAGCUAGAAGGAGCUUCCCAUCCUGUAAAGUCAGACAAAAGUCUGAUGCACAGUAGGCCUUCAACACCAAUUCGUAUUGAACUGAGUCCAUCCAUGAGGGAUGGUUAUGCCAGGAAAAGGUGACUGCUUGGUGCAUGGUUCCAAGGGCUCUGUUUCGGCUUCUUGCCAGCCUGAGGUCCUGCAGCUAUCCUUUUCAUUUCGGAUCAACCAAGGAAAGAUAACUCAUUAGUUAAUUCAUUCCAUAAAUACCUACUGAGCACCUACAGGCACUGUACAGAAAACAGCAAACAGAGAGUCCUAAUCCUGCUCUUAUAGAGUUUAUGGCCCAUCAGAGGAAACAGACAUCAAAAACUCAAGUAAUUCUUUUUUUUUUUUUUCAAGUAAUUCUUAAAGUAAGUAUUUGUUAUGGGCUGAAUUGU